Molecule: ribosomal RNA, 468 nt
Filed under: uncultured bacterium
Lineage: Bacteria
Description: partial 16S ribosomal RNA
Rfam family: Bacterial small subunit ribosomal RNA
Source: RNAcentral
GACGAACGCUGGCGGCGUGCUUAACACAUGCAAGUCGAACGGAAGGGCCCUGCUUUUGUGGGGUGCUCGAGUGGCGAACGGGUGAGUAACACGUGAGUAACCUGCCCUUGACUUUGGGAUAACUUCAGGAAACUGGGACUAAUACCGGAUAGGAGCUCCUGCUGCAUGGUGGGGGUUGGAAAGUUUCGGCGGUUGGGGAUGGACUCGCGGCUUAUCAGCUUGUUGGUGGGGUAGUGGCUUACCAAGGCUUUGACGGGUAGCCGGCCUGAGAGGGUGACCGGCCACAUUGGGACUGAGAUACGGCCCAGACUCCUACGGGAGGCAGCAGUGGGGAAUAUUGCACAAUGGGCGGAAGCCUGAUGCAGCAACGCCGCGUGCGGGAUGACGGCCUUCGGGUUGUAAACCGCUUUCGCCUGUGACGAAGCGUGAGUGACGGUAAUGGGUAAAGAAGCACCGGCUAACUACGUG